AGUGUACGGUACAUUGUGGACUGUAAAGCUGAAGAGUGCACAGUGGAUGCCUGAUUUUGGAACCGAGUGUGAUCGUCUGGGCGGUGUGUUCACUCUGCGGGGAUGAUGGCCAGAGGAAGGAUGAUAGACAGACGACAGCUUGCAGACGAAGAUGGGAGCGUUCUACCUGUGAGCCUGGUCGAGCUUAUAUUUUAUGGUAGGCAUUUGUUUCAAUCUUUACAAAGAGCUUCGACAUGUUGCGCCUGCUCAUGAACCUAUUGCAACUUUUUUGAGGGAAUUCUAAGAUCAAAGAAACAAGACCCUAGACGUAACUCCAUUAAUGUAUACUUGAUGCUGGACUUGACCUUCUGUGUUGUUUUCCUGUUUUCUUACAGGAUUUGCUGAAAGUUUCUAUUGGAAAUGCGAUAUAAGAUGCAAUUUUGACUAACUCUAACUUCACAAAAGUGCUUUUUGUCAACUACCUGCACGGGGCCUUGGCAGUACAUCUAAGUGUUCUAAGGUGCACGAUGUGUUGGAUAAAGUUUUCUUUGCAACUCUUAUAUAUUUACUGCGAUCUUUCGUGCAGGAUACACAUGCAUGGAUACACAUACAUGGAUUCCCUACAAGGACCCUGCGCAUCAAAAGCAAUCUGUCAUCAAUGUUAAGUAGACAGAUUAAACGAAACGAAGAUAUGACAGGUGUACACCAUAUUUUUCUUUCAUUUAACCUCUGCAUGUUUC
Long non-coding RNA from Rhipicephalus sanguineus (brown dog tick), 719 nucleotides. RefSeq lists it as uncharacterized. NCBI's taxonomy places the organism in Eukaryota, Metazoa, Arthropoda, Arachnida, Ixodida, Ixodidae. The record is from RefSeq and is a predicted model, not a curated record. The transcript has 3 exons.